ACGCUGGCGGCACGCCUAACACAUGCAAGUCGAACGAAGUAGCAAUACUUAGUGGCAGACGGGUGAGUAACAUGUAGGUAUCUGCCCUUUGGCCUGGAAUAACACGAGGAAACUUGUGCUAAUACCGGAUAAGUCUUUACGGAGAAAGCUUUAUGCACCAUUGGAUGAGCCUGCACUUGAUUAGUUUGUUGGUGGGGUAAUGGCCUACCAAGACUUUGAUCAAUAGCUGAUUUGAGAGGAUGAUCAGCCACAUUGGGACUGAGACACGGCCCAAACUCCUACGGGAGGCAGCAGUGGGGAAUCUUGCACAAUGGAGGAAACUCUGAUGCAGCGAUGCCGCGUGAGUGAAGAAGGCCUUUGGGUUGUAAAGCUCUUUCGUCGGGGAAGAAAAUGACUGUACCCGAAUAAGAAGGUCCGGCUAACUUCGUGCCAGCAGCCGCGGUAAUACGAAGGGACCUAGCGUAGUUCGGAAUUACUGGGCUUAAAGAGUUCGUAGGUGGUUGAAAAAGUUGGUGGUGAAAUCCCAGAGCUUAACUCUGGAACUGCCAUCAAAACUUUUCAGCUAGAGUUUGAUAGAGGAAAGCAGAAUUUCUAGUGUAGAGGUGAAAUUCGUAGAUAUUAGAAAGAAUACCAAUUGCGAAGGCAGCUUUCUGGAUCAUUACUGACACUGAGGAACGAAAGCAUGGGUAGCGAAGAGGAUUAGAUACCCUCGUAGUCCAUGCCGUAAACGAUGUGUGUUAGACGUUGGAAAUUUAUUUUCAGUGUCGCAGCGAAAGCGAUAAACACACCGCCUGGGGAGUACGACCGCAAGGUUAAAACUCAAAUGAAUUGACGGGGACCCGCACAAGUAGUGGAGCAUGUGGUUUAAUUCGAAGAUACGCGCAGAACCUUACCAACACUUGACAUGUUCGUCGCGACUUUAAGAGAUUAAAGUUUUCGGUUCGGCCGGACGAAACACAGGUGCUGCAUGGCUGUCGUCAGCUCGUGUCGUGAGAUGUUGGGUUAAGUCCCGCAACGAGCGCAACCCUCACUUUUAGUUGCCAUCAUUUAGUUGGGCACUCUGAAAGAACUGCCAGUGAUAAGCUGGAGGAAGGUGGGGAUGACGUCAAGUCCUCAUGGCCCUUACGUGUUGGGCUACACACGUGCUACAAUGGUAUCUACAACAGGAAGCAAAACGGCGACGUUAAGCAAAUCCUCAAAAGAUACCUCAGUUCGGAUUGCACUCUGCAACUCGAGUGCAUGAAGCUGGAAUUACUAGUAAUCGUGGAUCAGCGUGCCACGGUGAAUGCGUUCCCGGGUCUUGUACACACCGCCCGUCACACCAUGGGAGUUGGUUCUACCUUAAGGCAAGGUUUUAAACCCUUGACCACGGUAUAGUCAGCGACUGGGGUGAAGUCAUAACAAGGUAACCGUA
This 1414-nucleotide ribosomal RNA is filed under the name uncultured bacterium. RNAcentral's name for it is "16S ribosomal RNA". It matches the Rfam family "Bacterial small subunit ribosomal RNA". The record is from RNAcentral.